UUGGUCACAUAUCUGACACCAUGAUCAUGAAGGUGGUUUUCCCAGGGUGAGGCUCAUGCAUUGCACUCCGGGUGUGCUGACCCCUGUGAUUUCCCCAAAUGUGGGAAACUCGACUGCAUAAUUUGUGGUACUGGGGGACUGCGUUCGCGCUUUCCCCGG
Molecule: small nuclear RNA, 159 nt
Filed under: Salvator merianae (Argentine black and white tegu)
Lineage: Eukaryota; Metazoa; Chordata; Lepidosauria; Squamata; Teiidae
Description: U1 spliceosomal RNA (ENSSMRG00000009525.1)
Rfam family: U1 spliceosomal RNA
About the family: U1 is a small nuclear RNA (snRNA) component of the spliceosome (involved in pre-mRNA splicing). Its 5' end forms complementary base pairs with the 5' splice junction, thus defining the 5' donor site of an intron.
Source: Rfam by way of RNAcentral